RNAcentral lists this ribosomal RNA (253 nucleotides) under uncultured bacterium. Its description in RNAcentral is "partial 16S ribosomal RNA". It matches the Rfam family "Bacterial small subunit ribosomal RNA", at positions 524 to 776 of the family's 1533-position model. The record is from RNAcentral.
UACAGAGGGUGCGAGCGUUAAUCGGAAUUAUUGGGCGUAAAGAGCUCGUAGGCGGUUUGUUGCGUCGGCUGUGAAAACCUGGGGCUCAACCUCAGGCCUGCAGUCGAUACGAGCAGACUAGAGUGUUGCAGGGGAGACUGGAAUUCCUGGUGUAGCGGUGAAAUGCGCAGAUAUCAGGAGGAACACCGGUGGCGAAGGCGGGUCUCUGGGCAACAACUGACGCUGAGGAGCGAAAGCGUGGGGAGCGAACAGG